AUUGAACGCUGGCGGCAGGCUUAACACAUGCAAGUCGAGCGGGGUGAUGGUGCUUGCACUAUCACUUAGCGGCGGACGGGUGAGUAAUGCUUAGGAAUCUGCCUAUUAGUGGGGGACAACAUCUCGAAAGGGAUGCUAAUACCGCAUACGUCCUACGGGAGAAAGCAGGGGAUCACUUGUGACCUUGCGCUAAUAGAUGAGCCUAAGUCGGAUUAGCUAGUUGGUGGGGUAAAGGCCUACCAGGGCGACGAUCUGUAGCGGGUCUGAGAGGAUGAGCCGCCACACUGGGACUGAGACAUGGCCCAGACUCCUACGGGAGGCAGCAGUGGGGAAUAUUGGACAAUGGGGGGAACCCUGAUCCAGCCAUGCCGCGUGUGUGAAGAAGGCCUUAUGGUUGUAAAGCACUUUAAGCGAGGAGGAGGCUCUUUUGGUUAAUACCCAAGAUGAGUGGACGUUACUCGCAGAAUAAGCACCGGCUAACUCUGUGCCAGCCGCCGCAGUAA
RNAcentral lists this ribosomal RNA (503 nucleotides) under uncultured bacterium. RNAcentral describes it as "partial 16S ribosomal RNA". It matches the Rfam family "Bacterial small subunit ribosomal RNA", at positions 30 to 523 of the family's 1533-position model. The record is from RNAcentral.